AUGCAAGUCGAACGAUGAAGCACCAGCUUGCUGGUGUGGAUUAGUGGCGAACGGGUGAGUAACACGUGAGUAACCUGCCCCUCACUCUGGGAUAAGCCUGGGAAACUGGGUCUAAUACUGGAUACGACCGAUCUCCGCAUGGAGUGUUGGUGGAAAGUUUUUGUGGUGGGGGAUGGACUCGCGGCCUAUCAGCUUGUUGGUGGGGUAAUGGCCUACCAAGGCGACGACGGGUAGCCGGCCUGAGAGGGCGACCGGCCACACUGGGACUGAGACACGGCCCAGACUCCUACGGGAGGCAGCAGUGGGGAAUAUUGCACAAUGGGCGAAAGCCUGAUGCAGCGACGCCGCGUGAGGGAUGACGGCCUUCGGGUUGUAAACCUCUUUCACCAGGGACGAAGCUAACGUGACGGUACCUGGAGAAGAAGCACCGGCUAACUACGUGCCAGCAGCCGCGGUAAUACGUAGGGUGCGAGCGUUGUCCGGAAUUAUUGGGCGUAAAGAGCUUGUAGGCGGUUUGUCGCGUCUGCUGUGAAAGACCGGGGCUUAACUCCGGUUCUGCAGUGGGUACGGGCAGACUAGAGUGUGGUAGGGGAGACUGGAAUUCCUGGUGUAGCGGUGAAAUGCGCAGAUAUCAGGAGGAACACCGAUGGCGAAGGCAGGUCUCUGGGCCAUUACUGACGCUGAGAAGCGAAAGCAUGGGGAGCGAACAGGAUUAGAUACCCUGGUAGUCCAUGCCGUAAACGUUGGGCGCUAGGUGUGGGACUCAUUCCACGAGUUCCGUGCCGCAGCUAACGCAUUAAGCGCCCCGCCUGGGGAGUACGGCCGCAAGGCUAAAACUCAAAGGAAUUGACGGGGGCCCGCACAAGCGGCGGAGCAUGCGGAUUAAUUCGAUGCAACGCGAA
This 902-nucleotide ribosomal RNA is filed under the name Dermacoccus nishinomiyaensis. RNAcentral describes it as "bacterial SSU rRNA". It matches the Rfam family "Bacterial small subunit ribosomal RNA", at positions 55 to 965 of the family's 1533-position model. Lineage: Bacteria; Bacillati; Actinomycetota; Actinomycetes; Micrococcales; Dermacoccaceae. The record is from RNAcentral.